This is a long non-coding RNA of Camelus dromedarius (Arabian camel), 2499 nucleotides long. RefSeq lists it as uncharacterized. The transcript is spliced from 4 exons. The record is from RefSeq and is a predicted model, not a curated record. NCBI's taxonomy places the organism in Eukaryota, Metazoa, Chordata, Mammalia, Artiodactyla, Camelidae.
CGUUCUUGAAGCAGGGAAUUGAGUAACUUUCUCAAGUGCACGUUGACACUCCGUAUAUUUCUACCAGUAUCACCGAGGUUCAGUAUUUCUCAUGAAAGAAUUUCGAGCCUGGAAUUCUCUAGAGAAGCCUCCAUGCCGGUAUUCUCCAUUGUAGCAGAACAACUCUCAUCAAUAUGUUCGCAUCUCAGCUCAAUCCAUCCAGCCAACUUUUCUGCCAGGUUCUCUUCGUGUCUCCCAUAAAGUCGACUUCAACAGGACUGGGCAAGUCUGGAAGUAACUCUGAGCCUCACUAGUAUGCUGAUGACAGGCAGAUCUUCCACUGUCUGCCCUUUCAGAUUCUGGAAACUGACCCGUGAACUCAGGUCUUUGGGCAGCAGCAGUAACUCGAACUUGCACAGCUUCCCGAGCAAAAGACCAAAGCCAAGCUCCACAGAGGGCGGCAGACCCUCCAUCACACUGAUCCACCCACAGAAUUCUGCCCAGGUACCUUGGUUCCAUCAGCCACAACAAGCCUCGCAGUACACAGCAACAUUCCUUCUGGAAUUCCAUCCGACGUCAGGAAUCUUGGACUCGUUUUUGAAGCAGAUAAUCGAGUAAUAUUCUCAAGGUCACGUUGACUCUCCGUAUGAUUCUGCCAGUAUCAGCGAGGUUCAGUAGGUCUCAUGAAUGUCUUUCGAGCCUGGUAUGCUCUAGAGAUGUCUCCAUGCAGAUAUUCUCCACUGUAGCAGAACAACUUUCAUCAAUGUUUUCGCACAUCUCCUCAAUCCAUGCAGCCAGUGUUUCUGCCAGCUUCUCUUCGUGUCUCCCAUAAAGUCGACGUCAACAGGACUGGGCAAGUCUGAAAAUAUCUCAGAGCCUCACCAUUAAGCUGAUGACAGGCAGAUCUUCCACUGUCUGCCCUUUCAGAUUCUGGAAACUGACCCGUGAACUCAGGUCUCUGGGCAGCAGCAGUAUCUCGAACUUAAACAGCUUCCCGUACAAAAGACCUAAGCCAAUCUCCACAUAGGGCAGCAGACCCACCAUCAAACUGAUCCACCCACAGAAUUCUGCACAUUUACCUUGGAUCCACCAGCCGCAACACGCCUCGUGAUACACACCAACAUUCCACCUGGAAUCCAACAGACGUCAGGAAUAUUGGACCCGUUCUUGGAGCAGAGAAUCGAGUAGUUUUCUCAAGGGCACGUUUACUCUCCGAAUGAUUCUUCCAGUAUCACCGAGGUUCAGUAGGUCUCAUGAAUGUAUUUCGAGCCUGGUAUGCUCUAGAGAUGUCUCCAAGCCGAUAAUCUCCACUGUAGCAGAACAACUUUCAUCAAUGUGUUCGCACAUCUCCUCAAUCCAUGCAGCCAGUGUUUCGGCCAGCUUCUCUUCGUGUCUCCCAUAAAGUCGACGUCAACAGGACUGGGCAAGUCUGAAAAAAACUCGGAGCCUCACCAGUAAUCUGAAGACAGGCAGAUUUUCCACUGUCUGCCCUUUCAGAUUCUCGGAACUGACCUGUGAACCCAGGUCUCUGGGCAGCAGCAGUACCUCGAACUUACUCAGCUUCCCGAACAAAAGACUUAAGCCAAUCUCCACAUAGGUUAGCAGACCCAAUAUUAAACUGACCCACCCACAGAAUUCUGCCCAGUUACCUUGGAUCCACCAGCCGCAACACGCCUCGUGGUACACAACAAAAUUCCACCUUGAAUCCAAACGACGUCAGGAAUCUUGGACCCGUUCUUGGAGCUGAGAAUCGAGUUACUUUCUCAAGGUCACGUUGACUCUCCUUAUGUUUCUGCCAGUAUCAGCGAGGUUCAGUAGGUCUCAUGACUGUCUUUCGAGCCUGGUAUGCUCUAGAGAUGUUUCCAUGCCGAUAUUCUACACUGUAGCAGAACAACUUUCAUCAAUGUGUUCGCACAUCUCCUCAAUCCAUGCAGCAAGUGUUUCUGCCAGCUUCUCUUCGUGUCUCCCAUAAAGUCGACGUGAACAGGACUGGGCAAGUCUGAAAAUACCUCGGAGCCUCACCAGUAAGCUGAUGACAUUCAGAUUUUCCACUGUCUGCCCUUUCAGAUUCUGAAAACUGACCCAUGAACUCAGGUUUUUAGGCGGCAACAGUAUCUUGAACUUACUCAGAUUCCCGAACAAAAGACCUUAGCCAAUCUCCACAUAGGGCAGCAGACCCACCGUCAAACUGAUCCACCCACAGAAUACUGCCCAGUUAAGUUGGAUCCACCAGCCGCAGCAAGCCUCGUGGUACACACCAAUAUUCCACCUGGAAUCCAACCGGUAACUGCCAUCACCAGUGGUUGAUGCAUCAAGUCAGUGUUGGGGGUGAAGCUGCAUUAGACGAGAGUUUCCUAAGGGAAAUGUGAUUCUAUCCAGAAGGGUCCCAUUGUCCUUUUCUCUUCCCUCUUUCAUUUUGUUCAGAUCUGUAUACACAGUACAAACGGAGGGAAUAAUGUCCAUGAUCAGUUUAUGGAUUCACACCUAUUUAAACUUUCUAACAGUUCACAGUACACGGAG